This 471-nucleotide ribosomal RNA is filed under the name uncultured bacterium. RNAcentral's name for it is "partial 16S ribosomal RNA". It matches the Rfam family "Bacterial small subunit ribosomal RNA", at positions 28 to 507 of the family's 1533-position model. The record is from RNAcentral.
GACGAACGCUGGCGGCGUGCUUAACACAUGCAAGUCGAACGGAAAGGCCCUGCUUGCCGGGUGCUCGAGUGGCGAACGGGUGAGUAACACGUGGGUGAUCUGCCCCUUACUUUGGGAUAAGCCUGGGAAACUGGGUCUAAUACUGGAUAGGACCAUGCUGUAGGUGGUGUGGUGGAAAGAUUUUUUCGGUAAGGGAUGAGCUCGCGGCCUAUCAGCUUGUUGGUGGGGUAAUGGCCUACCAAGGCGUCGACGGGUAGCCGGCCUGAGAGGGUGGACGGCCACAUUGGGACUGAGAUACGGCCCAGACUCCUACGGGAGGCAGCAGUGGGGAAUAUUGCACAAUGGGCGCAAGCCUGAUGCAGCGACGCCGCGUGGGGGAUAACGGCCUUCGGGUUGUAAACUCCUUUCAGCCAUGACGAAGCCUCUGUUGGGGUGACGGUAGUGGUAGAAGAAGCACCGGCUAACUACGUG